GAUGAACGCUGGCGGCGUGCCUAAUACAUGCAAGUCGAGCGAACAGACGAGGAGCUUGCUCCUCUGGCGUUAGCGGCGGACGGGUGAGUAACACGUUGAUAACCUACCUAUAAGACUGGGAUAACUUCGGGAAACCGGAGCUAAUACCGGAUAAUAUAUUGAACCGCAUGGUUCAAUAGUGAAAGACGGUUUUGCUGUCACUUAUAGAUGGAUCCGCGCCGCAUUAGCUAGUUGGUAAGGUAACGGCUUACCAAGGCGACGAUGCGUAGCCGACCUGAGAGGGUGAUCGGCCACAGUGGAACUGAGACACGGUCCAGACUCCUACGGGAGGCAGCAGUAGGGAAUCUUCCGCAAUGGGCGAAAGCCUGACGGAGCAACGCCGCGUGAGUGAUGAAGGUCUUCGGAUCGUAAAACUCUGUUAUUAGGGAAGAACAAAUGUGUAAGUAACUAUGCACGUCUUGACGGUACCUAAUCAGAAAGCCACGGCUAACUACGUG
Molecule: ribosomal RNA, 497 nt
Filed under: uncultured bacterium
Lineage: Bacteria
Description: partial 16S ribosomal RNA
Rfam family: Bacterial small subunit ribosomal RNA
Source: RNAcentral